Molecule: ribosomal RNA, 462 nt
Filed under: uncultured bacterium
Lineage: Bacteria
Description: partial 16S ribosomal RNA
Rfam family: Bacterial small subunit ribosomal RNA
Source: RNAcentral
CCUACGGGAGGCUGCAGUGGGGAAUAUUGCGCAAUGGGCGAAAGCCUGACGCAGCGACGCCGCGUGAGGGAUGAAGGUAUUCGGAUCGUAAACCUCUGUCAGCAGGGAAGAACGGUCACUGUGCUAAUCAGCAGUGAAUUGACGGUACCUGCAAAGGAAGCACCGGCUAACUCCGUGACAGCAGCCGCGGUAAUACGGAGGGUGCGAGCGUUAAUCGGAAUUACUGGGCGUAAAGCGAUCGUAGGCGGUAUGUCAAGUCAAGGGUGAAAUCCCCGCGCUCAACGUGGGAACUGCCUGUGAAACUGGCAAACUGGAGGGGGUGAGAGGAGAGUGGGAGGCGAGGUGUAGGAGUGAAAUCCGUAGAUAUCUGGAGGAACAUCAGUGGCGAAGGCGACUAUCUGGCACAUAACUGACGCUGAGGAGCGAAAGCGUGGGUAGCAAACAGGAUUAGAUACCCCUGUC